UUAAGCGACUAAGCGUACACGGUGGAUGCCCUGGCAGUCAGAGGCGAUGAAGGACGUGCUAAUCUGCGAUAAGCGUCGGUAAGGUGAUAUGAACCGUUAUAACCGGCGAUUUCCGAAUGGGGAAACCCAGUGUGUUUCGACACACUAUCAUUAACUGAAUCCAUAGGUUAAUGAGGCGAACCGGGGGAACUGAAACAUCUAAGUACCCCGAGGAAAAGAAAUCAACCGAGAUUCCCCCAGUAGCGGCGAGCGAACGGGGAGCAGCCCAGAGCCUGAAUCAGUGUGUGUGUUAGUGGAAGCGUCUGGAAAGGCGCGCGAUACAGGGUGACAGCCCCGUACACAAAAAUGCACAUGCUGUGAGCUCGAUGAGUAGGGCGGGACACGUGGUAUCCUGUCUGAAUAUGGGGGGACCAUCCUCCAAGGCUAAAUACUCCUGACUGACCGAUAGUGAACCAGUACCGUGAGGGAAAGGCGAAAAGAACCCCGGCGAGGGGAGUGAAAAAGAACCUGAAACCGUGUACGUACAAGCAGUGGGAGCACGCUUAGGCGUGUGACUGCGUACCUUUUGUAUAAUGGGUCAGCGACUUAUAUUCUGUAGCAAGGUUAACCGAAUAGGGGAGCCGAAGGGAAACCGAGUCUUAACUGGGCGUUAAGUUGCAGGGUAUAGACCCGAAACCCGGUGAUCUAGCCAUGGGCAGGUUGAAGGUUGGGUAACACUAACUGGAGGACCGAACCGACUAAUGUUGAAAAAUUAGCGGAUGACUUGUGGCUGGGGGUGAAAGGCCAAUCAAACCGGGAGAUAGCUGGUUCUCCCCGAAAGCUAUUUAGGUAGCGCCUCGUGAAUUCAUCUCCGGGGGUAGAGCACUGUUUCGGCAAGGGGGUCAUCCCGACUUACCAACCCGAUGCAAACUGCGAAUACCGGAGAAUGUUAUCACGGGAGACACACGGCGGGUGCUAACGUCCGUCGUGAAGAGGGAAACAACCCAGACCGCCAGCUAAGGUCCCAAAGUCAUGGUUAAGUGGGAAACGAUGUGGGAAGGCCCAGACAGCCAGGAUGUUGGCUUAGAAGCAGCCAUCAUUUAAAGAAAGCGUAAUAGCUCACUGGUCGAGUCGGCCUGCGCGGAAGAUGUAACGGGGCUAAACCAUGCACCGAAGCUGCGGCAGCGACGCUUAUGCGUUGUUGGGUAGGGGAGCGUUCUGUAAGCCUGCGAAGGUGUGCUGUGAGGCAUGCUGGAGGUAUCAGAAGUGCGAAUGCUGACAUAAGUAACGAUAAAGCGGGUGAAAAGCCCGCUCGCCGGAAGACCAAGGGUUCCUGUCCAACGUUAAUCGGGGCAGGGUGAGUCGACCCCUAAGGCGAGGCCGAAAGGCGUAGUCGAUGGGAAACAGGUUAAUAUUCCUGUACUUGGUGUUACUGCGAAGGGGGGACGGAGAAGGCUAUGUUGGCCGGGCGACGGUUGUCCCGGUUUAAGCGUGUAGGCUGGUUUUCCAGGCAAAUCCGGAAAAUCAAGGCUGAGGCGUGAUGACGAGGCACUACGGUGCUGAAGCAACAAAUGCCCUGCUUCCAGGAAAAGCCUCUAAGCAUCAGGUAACAUCAAAUCGUACCCCAAACCGACACAGGUGGUCAGGUAGAGAAUACCAAGGCGCUUGAGAGAACUCGGGUGAAGGAACUAGGCAAAAUGGUGCCGUAACUUCGGGAGAAGGCACGCUGAUAUGUAGGUGAGGUCCCUCGCGGAUGGAGCUGAAAUCAGUCGAAGAUACCAGCUGGCUGCAACUGUUUAUUAAAAACACAGCACUGUGCAAACACGAAAGUGGACGUAUACGGUGUGACGCCUGCCCGGUGCCGGAAGGUUAAUUGAUGGGGUUAGCGCAAGCGAAGCUCUUGAUCGAAGCCCCGGUAAACGGCGGCCGUAACUAUAACGGUCCUAAGGUAGCGAAAUUCCUUGUCGGGUAAGUUCCGACCUGCACGAAUGGCGUAAUGAUGGCCAGGCUGUCUCCACCCGAGACUCAGUGAAAUUGAACUCGCUGUGAAGAUGCAGUGUACCCGCGGCAAGACGGAAAGACCCCGUGAACCUUUACUAUAGCUUGACACUGAACAUUGAGCCUUGAUGUGUAGGAUAGGUGGGAGGCUUUGAAGUGUGGACGCCAGUCUGCAUGGAGCCGACCUUGAAAUACCACCCUUUAAUGUUUGAUGUUCUAACGUUGACCCGUAAUCCGGGUUGCGGACAGUGUCUGGUGGGUAGUUUGACUGGGGCGGUCUCCUCCUAAAGAGUAACGGAGGAGCACGAAGGUUGGCUAAUCCUGGUCGGACAUCAGGAGGUUAGUGCAAUGGCAUAAGCCAGCUUGACUGCGAGCGUGACGGCGCGAGCAGGUGCGAAAGCAGGUCAUAGUGAUCCGGUGGUUCUGAAUGGAAGGGCCAUCGCUCAACGGAUAAAAGGUACUCCGGGGAUAACAGGCUGAUACCGCCCAAGAGUUCAUAUCGACGGCGGUGUUUGGCACCUCGAUGUCGGCUCAUCACAUCCUGGGGCUGAAGUAGGUCCCAAGGGUAUGGCUGUUCGCCAUUUAAAGUGGUACGCGAGCUGGGUUUAGAACGUCGUGAGACAGUUCGGUCCCUAUCUGCCGUGGGCGCUGGAGAACUGAGGGGGGCUGCUCCUAGUACGAGAGGACCGGAGUGGACGCAUCACUGGUGUUCGGGUUGUCAUGCCAAUGGCACUGCCCGGUAGCUAAAUGCGGAAGAGAUAAGUGCUGAAAGCAUCUAAGCACGAAACUUGCCCGAGAUGAGUUCUCCCUGACCCUUUAAGGGUCCUGAAGGAACGUUGAAGACGACGACGUUGAUAGGCCGGGUGUGUAAGCGCAGCGAUGCGUUGAGCUAACCGGUACUAAUGAACCGUGAGGCUUAACCUU
This 2901-nucleotide ribosomal RNA is filed under the name Escherichia coli. Its description in RNAcentral is "bacterial LSU rRNA". It matches the Rfam family "Bacterial large subunit ribosomal RNA". Lineage: Bacteria; Pseudomonadati; Pseudomonadota; Gammaproteobacteria; Enterobacterales; Enterobacteriaceae. The record is from RNAcentral.